Long non-coding RNA from Brassica oleracea var. oleracea, 566 nucleotides. RefSeq lists it as uncharacterized. The transcript has 3 exons. Lineage: Eukaryota; Viridiplantae; Streptophyta; Magnoliopsida; Brassicales; Brassicaceae. The record is from RefSeq and is a predicted model, not a curated record.
AUCUGCUUGCUCGAUAAGUUGGAUUCUAUUUCUUCUACAACGGAUGGAUCCCGUAAGGCAUCUGACACUUCUUCUCGUGAUAUAUACUUUUACUCAACUGACCUUUUUAUAUCUGCCUUUUCUCUAACUUAUUCAGUUUCUGACAUGCAAGAUAAUACCUCAGAGUCUUAGAAAAACGGUAGAUCACAUUAGCAGGAUCCACGGAAAUAAGCGUCAGUACUCCCAAAGAGAUGGCUGCUUGCCUUGACCAAUCAGUCCAGUCGUUCACAUGACAUUUUCACUAUCACUGUGGAACAAAUGCGCAAGAUCAAUACAGAUUCUCCUGAAAAUGGUAUUUACAAUGGGAGCUUGAAAGAAGAGUAUCAUUGUGCCAAGUUGCACAUAGUAUACCUUGCCGGUUCAGAACGAGCCAAAAGAACUGGUUCUGACGGUAUGAAAGUUAAAGAAGGAGUUUACAUAAAUAAAGGCCUCCUUGCGCUGGGUAAUGUCAUCAGUGCGCUUUAAGAUGAGAGAAAGCGCAAAGAUGGUGCUCAUGUUCCUUACAGAGACAGUAAACUUACACAUAA